UGCGUAGGUGGUUUUGUAAGCGCGGGGUGAAAGGCAAUAGCUCAACUAUUGUAAGCCCUGCGAACUGUGAGACUUGAGUGCAGGAGAGGAAAGUGGAAUUCCUAGUGUAGCGGUGAAAUGCGUAGAUAUUAGGAGGAACACCAGUGGCGAAGGCGACUUUCUGGACUGUAACUGACACUGAGGCACGAAAGCGUGGGGAGCAAACAG
This 207-nucleotide ribosomal RNA is filed under the name uncultured Eubacteriales bacterium. RNAcentral's name for it is "uncultured Clostridiales bacterium partial 16S ribosomal RNA". It matches the Rfam family "Bacterial small subunit ribosomal RNA", at positions 568 to 775 of the family's 1533-position model. Lineage: Bacteria; Bacillati; Bacillota; Clostridia; Eubacteriales. The record is from RNAcentral.